ACGAGUGGCGGACGGGUGAGUAAUGUCUGGGAAACUGCCUGAUGGAGGGGGAGUAACUACUGGAAACGGUAGCUAAUACCGCAUAACGUCGCAAGACCAAAGAGGGGGACCUUCGGGCCUCUUGCCGUCGGAUGUGCCCAGAUGGGAUUAGCUAGUAGGUGGGGUAACGGCUCACCUAGGCGACGAUCCCUAGCUGGUCUGAGAGGAUGACCAGCCACACUGGAACUGAGACACGGUCCAGACUCCUACGGGAGGCAGCAUG
RNAcentral lists this ribosomal RNA (262 nucleotides) under uncultured bacterium. RNAcentral describes it as "partial 16S ribosomal RNA". It matches the Rfam family "Bacterial small subunit ribosomal RNA", at positions 91 to 353 of the family's 1533-position model. The record is from RNAcentral.